UGCGCCGGUAGUGAAAUGGCAUCACGCGGGGCUCAUAACCCCGAGUUGCGGGUUCGACUCCCGCCUGCGCUACCA
This 75-nucleotide transfer RNA is filed under the name Noviluteimonas gilva. RNAcentral's name for it is "Lysobacter gilvus tRNA-Met". It matches the Rfam family "tRNA". Rfam says of the family: Transfer RNA (tRNA) molecules are approximately 80 nucleotides in length. The record is from RNAcentral. Lineage: Bacteria; Pseudomonadati; Pseudomonadota; Gammaproteobacteria; Lysobacterales; Lysobacteraceae.